GCGGGAGUGGUGGAAUUGGUAGACACGCUGGAUUUAGGUUCCAGUGCCGCAAGGCGUGAGAGUUCGAGUCUCUCCUUCCGCA
This 82-nucleotide transfer RNA is filed under the name Kushneria avicenniae. Its description in RNAcentral is "tRNA_Leu_TAG". It matches the Rfam family "tRNA". From Rfam's summary of the family: Transfer RNA (tRNA) molecules are approximately 80 nucleotides in length. Their secondary structure includes four short double-helical elements and three loops (D, anti-codon, and T loops). Lineage: Bacteria; Pseudomonadati; Pseudomonadota; Gammaproteobacteria; Oceanospirillales; Halomonadaceae. RNAcentral also lists the same sequence under 1 other name. The record is from RNAcentral.